GACGAAGGGGGCUAGCGUUGUUCGGAAUCACUGGGCGUAAAGCGCACGUAGGCGGAUCUUUAAGUCAGGGGUGAAAUCCCGAGGCUCAACCUCGGAACUGCCUUUGAUACUGGAGGUCUCGAGUCCGGGAGAAGUGAGUGGAACUGCGAGUGUAGAGGUGAAAUUCGUAGAUAUUCGCAAGAACACCAGUGGCGAAGGUGGCUCACUGGCCCGGAACUGACGCUGAGGUGCGAAAGCGUGGGGAGCAAACAGG
Molecule: ribosomal RNA, 253 nt
Filed under: uncultured Methylocystis sp.
Lineage: Bacteria; Pseudomonadati; Pseudomonadota; Alphaproteobacteria; Hyphomicrobiales; Methylocystaceae
Description: partial 16S ribosomal RNA
Rfam family: Bacterial small subunit ribosomal RNA
Source: RNAcentral